CAGCCGCCGCGGUAAUACCGGCGGCCCGAGUGGCGGUCACUAUUAUUGUGCUUAAAGCGUCCGUAGCCGGGUUGGGAAGUCCUCCGGGAAAUCUGGCCGCUUAACGGUCAGAAUGCCGGAGGAUACUCCCAGCCUAGGGAGCGGGAGAGGCCGAGGGUAUUCCCGGAGUCGGGGUGAAAUCCUAUAAUCCCGGGAGGGCCACCUGUGGCGAAGGCGCUCGGCUGGAACGCGUCCGACGGUGAGGGACGAAGGCCAGGGGAGCAAACCGGAUUAGAUACCCGGGUAGUCCUGGCUGUAAACGAUGCGGACUUUGUGUCGGACAAGCUAUGAGCUUGUCCGGUGCCGGAGGGAAACCGUUAAGUCCGCCGCCUGGGGAGUACGGCCGCAAGGCUGAAACUUAAAGGAAUUGGCGGG
This 414-nucleotide ribosomal RNA is filed under the name uncultured microorganism. Its description in RNAcentral is "bacterial SSU rRNA". It matches the Rfam family "Archaeal small subunit ribosomal RNA", at positions 459 to 872 of the family's 1478-position model. The record is from RNAcentral.